This 87-nucleotide ribosomal RNA is filed under the name Rhodospirillales bacterium. RNAcentral's name for it is "partial 16S ribosomal RNA". It matches the Rfam family "Bacterial small subunit ribosomal RNA", at positions 1 to 96 of the family's 1533-position model. Lineage: Bacteria; Pseudomonadati; Pseudomonadota; Alphaproteobacteria; Rhodospirillales. The record is from RNAcentral.
UAACCUGAGAGUUUGAUCCUGGCUCAGAACGAACGCUGGCGGCAUGCCUAACACAUGCAAGUCGAGCGCCCGUAGCAAUACGGGAGC